RNAcentral lists this non-coding RNA (540 nucleotides) under Pongo abelii (Sumatran orangutan). The record is from RNAcentral. Lineage: Eukaryota; Metazoa; Chordata; Mammalia; Primates; Hominidae.
ACCCAUUGCAGCACCUUCACAAAGCCGAGGGGCUCCUUGACCACCCGGAACUGACCCCCAGCCACCAGCUGAGGAGAGAAACAGUGGGGAAGGGGUGGGGUUGUUGGAGGUACAGGGAGGUGAGCGGCAAGGCUGCCCGUCAAUGACCCCUGGGGAUGGAGCAUGUGACCUCGGGGAGGGGGGUGAGGAGAAAGUGACACCUUGGGGAAGGUGUGAGCCCCACGGUCCAAGAACUGGUGGGAAGGUCUGAAGAGAUGCUGAAUAAACUAAGAGGCAGAGAGGAAUUUUCCUAAGUUCACACAGCUGGUAAAUUGGUAGAACCAGGAUAUGAACCCAGGAAGUUUGGCUCCAGCACCUGUUACUCUUAGCCACUGUGCUAACUUAUCAGUACACCAUGUUUUUUUUUUUCAGCACACCAUCUUGUGUGUCUAUAAAAGAUACCUGAUAAUACUAUUUGCUUCCAGAGGGUAGGGAAACUUUUCACUUUAUACCCCUUUGUACCUUUUGAGACUCCAUCUCAAAUAAAAUAAAAAAAAAACA